This 250-nucleotide ribosomal RNA is filed under the name uncultured bacterium. RNAcentral describes it as "partial 16S ribosomal RNA". It matches the Rfam family "Bacterial small subunit ribosomal RNA", at positions 524 to 771 of the family's 1533-position model. The record is from RNAcentral.
UACGUAGGGUGCAAGCGUUAAUCGGAAUUACUGGGCGUAAAGCGUGCGCAGGCGGUUUUGUAAGUUUGUCGUGAAAUCCCCCGGGCUCAACCUGGGAAUGGCGAUGAAGACUGCAAGGCUAGAAUCUGGCAGAGGGGGGUAGAAUUCCACGUGUAGCAGUGAAAUGCGUAGAGAUGUGGAGGAACACCGAUGGCGAAGGCAGCCCCCUGGGUCAAGAUUGACGCUCAUGCACGAAAGGCGUGGGGAGCAA